AACGCAUCUUGCGCCCCGUGGCAUUCCGCGGGGCAUGUCUGUUUGAGUGUCGUUUGACCUCUCAACCGCUUUGGUAUUCGAUUACAAAAGUCGGCUUGGAACUUGGGUGCCUCUGGCGAAACGCAAAGGGCCUCGGCCCUGUCGCCCACCCCAAAGUCAGUUGGGCCAACCGCGCGGAUGAGCGGACGGUUUGACCACAGUGUUGAAAGGUUCGCCUCACUGUCGGGACGUCCAUUUCCGUCGCUUACAAGGCAUUUGAAAUACGAUACUAUUGAUUUCGACCUCAAAUCAGACAGGAUUACCUGCUGAACUUAA
RNAcentral lists this unclassified non-coding RNA (315 nucleotides) under uncultured fungus. Its description in RNAcentral is "partial contains 5.8S ribosomal RNA, internal transcribed spacer 2, and large subunit ribosomal RNA". The stretch from base 1 to 52 matches the Rfam family "5.8S ribosomal RNA", at positions 103 to 154 of the family's 154-position model. The record is from RNAcentral. Lineage: Eukaryota; Fungi.